Molecule: ribosomal RNA, 114 nt
Filed under: Escherichia coli
Lineage: Bacteria; Pseudomonadati; Pseudomonadota; Gammaproteobacteria; Enterobacterales; Enterobacteriaceae
Also listed under: 3 other names
Description: partial 23S ribosomal RNA
Rfam family: Bacterial large subunit ribosomal RNA
Source: RNAcentral
GACUCCUUGAGAGUCCUGAAGGAACGUUGAAGACGACGACGUUGAUAGGCCGGGUGUGUAAGCGCAGCGAUGCGUUGAGCUAACCGGUACUAAUGAACCGUGAGGCUUAACCUU